This 403-nucleotide ribosomal RNA is filed under the name uncultured bacterium. RNAcentral describes it as "partial 16S ribosomal RNA". It matches the Rfam family "Bacterial small subunit ribosomal RNA", at positions 30 to 526 of the family's 1533-position model. The record is from RNAcentral.
AUUGAACGCUGGCGGCAGGCCUAACACAUGCAAGUCGAGCGAGCGUCGGACGGGUGAGUAAUGUAUGGGGACUGCCCGCUAGAGGGGGAUAACUCCUGGAAACGGUUUCUAAUACCGCAUAUUCUCUGAUAAUCCACAUGGGAUUAUCUCGUUGGUGGGGUAAUGGCUCACCAAGGCGACGCUCCCUAGCUGGUCUGAGAGGAUGAUCAGCCACACUGGAACUGAGACACGGCCCAGACUCCUACGGAGGCAGCAGUGGGGAAUAUUGCACAAUGGGCGCAAGCCUGAUGCAGCCAUGCCGCGUGUAUGAAGAAGGCCCUAGGGUUGUAAAGUACUUUCAGUCGGGAGGCGUUACCGACAGAAGAAGCACCGGCUAACUCCGUGCCAGCAGCCGCGGUAAUAC